Molecule: ribosomal RNA, 595 nt
Filed under: uncultured beta proteobacterium
Lineage: Bacteria; Pseudomonadati; Pseudomonadota; Betaproteobacteria
Description: bacterial SSU rRNA
Rfam family: Bacterial small subunit ribosomal RNA
Source: RNAcentral
CAGGUCUUCGGAUGCUGACGAAGUGGCGAACGGGUGAGUAAUACAUCGGAACGUGCCCAGUAAUGGGGGAUAGCUCGGCGAAAGCCGGAUUAAUACCGCAUACGCCCUGAGGGGGAAAGUGGGGGAUCGCAAGACCUCACGUUAUUGGAGCGGCCGAUGGCUGAUUAGCUAGUUGGUAGGGUAAAGGGCUACCAAUGCGACGAUCAGUAGCUGGUCUGAGAGGACGAUCAGCCACACUGGGACUGAGACACGGCCCAGACUCCUACGGGAGGCAGCCAGUGGGGAAUUUUGGACAAUGGGGGAAACCCUGAUCCAGCAAUGCCGCGUGUGCGAAGAAGGCCUUCGGGUUGUAAAGCACUUUUGUCAGGGAAGAAAUCCUUUGGGCUAAUACCCUANGGGGAUGACGGUACCUGAAGAAUAAGCACCGGCUAACUACGUGCCAGCAGGCGCGGUAAUACGUACGGGUGCAAGCGUUAAUCGGAAUUACUUGGGCGUAAAGCGUGCGCAGGCGGUUGUGUAAGACAGGUGUGAAAUCCCCGGGCUUAACCUGGGAAUUGCAUUUGUGACUGCACGACUAGAGUGUGUCAGAGGGGGG